Molecule: ribosomal RNA, 497 nt
Filed under: uncultured bacterium
Lineage: Bacteria
Description: partial 16S ribosomal RNA
Rfam family: Bacterial small subunit ribosomal RNA
Source: RNAcentral
GAUGAACGCUGGCGGCGUGCCUAAUACAUGCAAGUCGAGCGAACGGACGAGAAGCUUGCUCUUCUGAUGUUAUCGGCGGACGGGUGAGUAACACGUGGAUAACCUACCUAUAAGACUGGGGUAACUUCGGGAAACAGGAGCUAAUACCGGAUAAUAUUUUGAACCGCAUGGUUCAAAAGUGAAAGACGGUCUUGCUGUCACUUAUAGAUUGAUCCGCGCUGCAUUAGCUAGUUGGUAAGGUAACGGCUUACCAAGGCAACGAUGCAUAGCCGACCUGAGAGGGUGGUCGGCCACACGGGAAGUGAGACACGGUCCAGACUCCGACGGGAGGCAGCAGUAGGGAAUCUUCCGCGAGGGGCGAAAGCCUGACGGAGCACCGCCGCGUGAGUGAUGAAGGUCUUCGGAUCGUAAAACUCUGUUAUUAGGGAAGAACAUAUGUGUAAGUAACUGUGCACAUCUUGACGGUACCUAAUCAGAAAGCCACGGCUAACUACGUG